This 446-nucleotide ribosomal RNA is filed under the name uncultured bacterium. Its description in RNAcentral is "partial 16S ribosomal RNA". It matches the Rfam family "Bacterial small subunit ribosomal RNA", at positions 338 to 795 of the family's 1533-position model. The record is from RNAcentral.
CCUACGGGUGGCAGCAGUCGAGAAUCAUUCGCAAUGGGGGAAACCCUGAUGGUGCGACGCCGCGUGGGGGAAUGAAGGUCUUCGGAUUGUAAACCCCUGUCAUGUGGGAGCAAAUUAAAAAGAUAGUACCACAAGAGGAAGAGACGGCUAACUCUGUGCCAGCAGCCGCGGUAAUACAGAGGUCUCAAGCGUUGUUCGGAAUCACUGGGCGUAAAGCGUGCGUAGGCUGUUUCGUAAGUCGGGUGUGAAAGGCGCGGGCUCAACCCGCGGACGGCACAUGAUACUGCGAGACUAGAGUAAGGGAGGGGGAACCGGAAUUCUCGGUGUAGCAGUGAAAUGCGUAGAUAUCGAGAGGAACACUCGUGGCGAAGGCGGGUUCCUGGACAUUAACUGACGCUGAGGCACGAAGGCCAGGGGAGCGAAAGGGAUUAGAUACCCGUGUAGUC